UACUUUAACCAUGUACUAAUCCUACAUAAUUUUUGUUUAGGUACUACUAUAUUACACAAUAUUCAUCAGAACCUAUUGAAUCAAAUGCAUUAAAAUCAAAACUAAUGGAAGAGGAAAAGGUUUUAGUCCCUACUUAAAAUUAUCUUUGUAUGAGUAUGUUAAAAAUUGAAAUUCCUUAUCAGUUAUCCAAAUUACAUGUAUUACCAUAUUACACAAUAUUCAUCGGAACCUAUUGAAUCAAAUGCAUUAAAUUCAAAACUAAUGGAAGGGGAAGAGGUUUUAGUCCCUACUAAAAUUAUCUUUGUAUGAGUUUGUUAAAAAUUGAAAUUCCUUAUCAGAUAUCCAAAUUACAUGUAUUAUCAUAUUACACAAUAGUCAUCGGAACCUAUUGAAUCAAAUGCAUUAAAUUCAAAACUAAUGGAAGGGGAAGAGGUUUUAGUCCCUACUUAAAAUUAUCUUUGUAUGAGUAUGUUAAAAAUUGAAAUUCCUUAUCAGUUAUCCAAAUUACAUGUAUUACCAUAUUACACAAUAUUCAUCGGAACCUAUUGAAUCAAAUGCAUUAAAUUCAAAACUAAUGGAAGGGGAAGAGGUUUUAGUCCCUACUUAAAAUUAUCUUUGUAUGAGUAUGUUAAAAAUUGAAAUUCCUUAUCAGUUAUCCAAAUUACAUGUAUUACCAUAUUACACAAUAUUCAUCGGAACCCAUUGAAUCAAAUGCAUUAAAUUCAAAACUAAUGGAAGGGGAAGAGGUUUUAGUCCCUACUUAAAAUUAUCUUUGUAUGAGUAUGUUAAAAAUUGAAAUUCCUUAUCAGUUAUCCAAAUUACAUGUAUUACCAUAUUACACAAUAUUCAUCGGAACCUAUUGAAUCAAAUGCAUUAAAUUCAAAACUAAUGGAAGGGGAAGAGGUUUUAGUCCCUACUUAAAAUUAUCUUUGUAUGAGUAUGUUAAAAAUUGAAAUUCAUCAGUUAUAUAAAUUACAUGUAUUACCAUAUUACACAAUAUUCAUCGGAACCUAUUGAAUCAAAUGCAUUAAAUUCAAAACUAAUGGAAGGGGAAAAGGUUUUAAUCCCUACUUAACAUUAUCUUUGUAUGAGUAUGUUAAAAAUUGAAAUUCAUCAGUUAUAUAAAUUACAUGUAUUACCAUAUUACACAAUAUUCAUCGGAACCUAUUGAAUCAAAUGCAUUAAAUUCAAAACUAAUGGAAGGGGAAGAGGUUUUAGUCCCUACUAAAAUUAUCUUUGUAUGAGUUUGUUAAAAAUUGAAAUUCCUUAUCAGAUAUCCAAAUUACAUGUAUUACCAUAUUACACAAUAUUCAUCGGAACCUAUUGAAUCAAAUGCAUUAAAUUCAAAACUAAUGGAAGGGGAAGAGGUUUUAGUCCCUACUAAAAUUAUCUUUGUAUGAGUUUGUUAAAAAUUGAAAUUCCUUAUCAGAUAUCCAAAUUACAUGUAUUACCAUAUUACACAAUAUUCAUCGGAAACUAUUGAAUCAAAUGCAUUAAAUUCAAAACUAAUGGAAGGGGAAAAGGUUUUAAUCCCUACUUAAAAUUAUCUUUGUAUGAGUAUGUUAAAAAUUGAAAUUCCUUAUCAGUUAUCCAAAUUACAUGUAUUACCAUAUUACACAAUAUUCAUCGGAAACUAUUGAAUCAAAUACAUUAAAUUCAAAACUAAUGGAAGGGGAAAAGGUUUUAAUCCCUACUUAAAAUUAUCUUUGUAUGAGUAUGUUAAAAAUUGAAAUUCCUUAUCAGUUAUCCAAAUUACAUGUAUUACUAUAUUACACAAUAUUCAUCGGAAACUAUUGAAUCAAAUGCAUUAAAUUCAAAACUAAUGGAAGGGGAAAAGGAUUUAGUCCCUACUUAACAUUAUCUUUGUAUGAGUAUGUUAAAAAUUGAAAUUCAUCAGUUAUAUAAAUUACAUGUAAACACCGUGUUUUAAACUUGAUAAUCAUAUGCAAUUCGUAAAAGAUAUAAGUGUUGAGAGAAUGGCGAUCGGCGAAACUACUGGUCGAGUGCGCGGUUGUGUAAAUACUGAAUACCUACACAGUACACAUAGUCAAGACCGGGUAUGGCGGUGGCAGCGUCGUAGCGACGGUACAAACAGCCGUUAGAAGGUUUUCGGGUUUCCCCGAAUAAAACUCAACAAGAACACCAAAUUUAUAUAAUAUUAUUUAAUAUUUAUAUCACAAAUCAUAAUUAUUUCUUUGAAUUUGUGGCGGUGAUUGGCUGUCUUUGUCUAACACACGCACAACUUUAGAAUUUAGACGCGUUUUUGUCCAACGCACCGAUUUAUACAGUUAAGAGAUAAGAAUUCUGAAAACAGAUUUGAAUUGGUCAUCGAGUGUACUUGAGAUCGGCUGGCUAGUCCACUUUUCCCAGUUAACCUACGUACAAAUUAAUAAAAAUUUUAUACUACUUAGGUACAUAAAAUUAAAAAACACUAAGUUAAAUACCGUUUUAAAAUCAUCAACCAAAGUAAGGAAAUUAAAAGGUUUAGGUAUUAGCUACAUAAAUGAUAGGUCACAUAUACAACUAUAUAAAUUACAAUUGCCUAUAUAUGUAGGAUAAGAUAGAUUAUAAUGUAUUAUAUCAAAAUAAUAUAAUAAUUACCGAUUAUACCGUAAUUCCAGAAUGUGUAUCAACACAAAAUUGUUUUGAGAUAGACAAGGUUUAAUUCUUAACUCUAUUCAUACCCGUCAUUAUGCACCUUUUUGAAAAUAAACAAUAAUAACAGCUUUGCAGUUAAGUAUAUAUAUCUGAAUGCGCUAGUAUAUUUAUUUUAUUUUUGCAAAAGGUAAAUAAUAUACGGACAAUAUUAAGCGAUAUUUAGCUUAGAAAUACACCCAUACACGAUAUGAUACAAACAAAAUAGUGAAAAUUUAGACGUUUUAACACACCAUGAAUUCCAAUUUAUAUUAUAUAUAUUAUAUUAUUAUAAUAAAAUAUUUUUAUUUUUAUUUA
Molecule: long non-coding RNA, 2952 nt
Organism: Aphis gossypii (cotton aphid)
Lineage: Eukaryota; Metazoa; Arthropoda; Insecta; Hemiptera; Aphididae
Exons: 17
Source: RefSeq, a predicted model, not a curated record